GAUGAACGCUGGCGGCGUGCCUAAUACAUGCAAGUCGAGCGAACAGACGAGGAUUUUGCUCCUCUGACGUUAGCGGCGGACGGGUGAGUAACACGUGGAUAACCUACCUAUAAGACUGAGAUCACUUCGGGAAACCGGAGCUAAUACCAGAUAAUAUAUUGAACCGCAUGGUUCAAUAGUGAAAUACGGUUUUUCUGUCACUUAUAGAUGUAUCCGCGCGGCAUUAGAUUGUUGGUAAGGUAACGGGUUACCAAGGGAACGAUGCGUAAACGACGUGAGAGAGUGGUAGGCGACCUUGGAACGUAACCGGCGUCAAGGCGCCUGAGAGACGCCGCAGUAGGCAACGUGCGGCAGUAGUGGGGAGCAUGGCGCAACGAGCGCGAGUGAGUGAUAGCGGUGUCGGGAUCGUAAAGCUCUGUUAUUAGGGAAGAACAAAUGUGUAAGUAGAUGUGGAGGUAUUGACGGUACCUAAUCAGAAAGCCACGGCUAACUACGUG
Molecule: ribosomal RNA, 497 nt
Filed under: uncultured bacterium
Lineage: Bacteria
Description: partial 16S ribosomal RNA
Rfam family: Bacterial small subunit ribosomal RNA
Source: RNAcentral